This 452-nucleotide long non-coding RNA is filed under the name Phascolarctos cinereus (koala). RNAcentral's name for it is "lncRNA (ENSPCIG00000035761.1)". Lineage: Eukaryota; Metazoa; Chordata; Mammalia; Diprotodontia; Phascolarctidae. The record is from RNAcentral.
AGACUGCAUCCAGUUUUUGAACUACUUGGUCAGGUUUGGACGGUGGCCAGCCAGAUGUUAAAAGGCCCAACAACAGGAAGGGGGGAGGGAGGAUUAAGGUAGUGUAAUUGAGACACCCAAGGGCUCCUGCUUAUCAGCAAAUGAGGGCAGAUUUGAGUUUGUCAACACAAUGGAAAUGGAAUGAAAUUUCUUUUGCUCUUAAAGGUUUUGAUGAUCCCUUGGCAUCAUUUGUAAUGAAUACAGUGAUAGAAAAAGCUUAUGGAAAUAAGUUUGCACUAUACAUCUGGAAACAUUGUCAUUCUAAAGUGGUUCUUGUAAGUAAAAAUGGUAUAAUGAAGUCAAGCCUAAUAGGAUGUUAUUUCAAAAGUGAAAAUAAGGUAUGGCUAAAUGCUGGUGCUGACAAAUUACUAGGCAAGAGUGGAAUGGACAACGAAAGUUAUCUUGCUGAAUAA